This 16-nucleotide ribosomal RNA is filed under the name Thysananthus virens. RNAcentral's name for it is "Mastigolejeunea virens 5.8 ribosomal RNA". Lineage: Eukaryota; Viridiplantae; Streptophyta; Jungermanniopsida; Porellales; Lejeuneaceae. The record is from RNAcentral.
AAUGACUUCUCAGCAA